UUUCCCCUUCCUCUAAAGUGAAGCUUCCCUAUCCUGCUGCUGCAAGCUUCCCAGCUAAUAGAGGCUCUUGAGACACCGUAAAUAGAGAGAAAAUCUGUAGAAAAUGGAGGGAAAAAACCAACGGAGAAUAAAGGACAAACGAAAAAAUCAAAAGAGAUAAUGACACGUGGUGGAGCAUCUAGACUUGGUCGAAAGGGUGGAAGAGAAAGAAAUAUCCCCAGACAACAGCUUCAAGAUGAACAUGAUGGAGAUAGUGGAAGACACCUACAAUGAUCUACUCAUAGACUAUUUGACACACCUCCACCUACUGAGAGACAUGGCUCAUUGUCUGUGGAGGAGCCUUCUGUCAAUCCUUCACCUCAUGUGCCUGAUAGUGUAAGUUCGGUUGAUUCUAUGCGUACAAGAGGUCCAAACCAGUCGGCCCCUGAGCCAACCAUCGAAGCAGAUAAAGUUUUCAUUACAGUGGAAAUAAAUAAAUUCAUCGAGCCUGAGGUGUCACGUCAGAUGAGUGUUUAGCUGAAGCAGUGUUUUAAAGAAGCUUGGCCUUCAUGGGGAAUGGUUGAGCAAACAACCAAGAAUGAGUUAUUGCAU
Long non-coding RNA from Elaeis guineensis (African oil palm), 591 nucleotides. RefSeq lists it as uncharacterized. Lineage: Eukaryota; Viridiplantae; Streptophyta; Magnoliopsida; Arecales; Arecaceae. The record is from RefSeq and is a predicted model, not a curated record.